This 72-nucleotide transfer RNA is filed under the name Dehalococcoidia bacterium. Its description in RNAcentral is "tRNA-Ile". It matches the Rfam family "tRNA". From Rfam's summary of the family: Transfer RNA (tRNA) molecules are approximately 80 nucleotides in length. Their secondary structure includes four short double-helical elements and three loops (D, anti-codon, and T loops). The record is from RNAcentral. Lineage: Bacteria; Bacillati; Chloroflexota; Dehalococcoidia.
GGGCCCGUAGCUCAAUGGCAGAGCAACCGGCUCAUAACCGGGAGGGUUCAGGUUCGAGUCCUGACGGGCCCA